This 253-nucleotide ribosomal RNA is filed under the name uncultured bacterium. Its description in RNAcentral is "partial 16S ribosomal RNA". It matches the Rfam family "Bacterial small subunit ribosomal RNA", at positions 524 to 776 of the family's 1533-position model. The record is from RNAcentral.
UACAGAGGGGGCAAGCGUUGUUCGGAAUUACUGGGCGUAAAGGGCGCGUAGGCGGCCUUCUAAGUCGGACGUGAAAUCCCUCGGCUUAACCGGGGAACUGCGUCCGAUACUGGUUGGCUUGAGUUUGGGAGAGGGAUGCGGAAUUCCAGGUGUAGCGGUGAAAUGCGUAGAUAUCUGGAGGAACACCGGUGGCGAAGGCGGCAUCCUGGACCAAUACUGACGCUGAGGAGCGAAAGCCAGGGGAGCAAACGGG